AGACGGUAAAAAAACAGAAGAACACACGGCGGCAGCAUAAAAAUAAACAUACAUUCGUAGGUUCAAACAUACAUGGAGGAGUUGAGUAGCAAACGGAGGCACCUAAGUUAACUGGAAAAACGUUACCCAGUAUGCAUUUGGGAGUGGGAUCAAGUCUCUCACUUUGAGCAACAAAGAUUCAGAUUCAAAUGCAGCCGAACAACAUGAACUGCAUGUCGUAAUACUGUUGAUGUAAUAAAAAGAGCGCAGCAGCAGCAACAACACAGUAAUGACCAGGAAGAGUGAAGGCUAAAGAAAAGCUUAGCAAAACAGAAAUGUGACAAAGAACAAUAAAUUAAAAGGAGACUGACCAAGUUAGUAGAGACUUCUAUUUCUAACUGGAAUUCUCGUGCCCAGAUAUACCUGUUAUUCGCUGUAGUAAUACUUAUUUUAUUUUAUGAGACCCAUUAAAAAGGGAUAAUAAUGUGGCUAUAGAGUAACGACUAAAUAUGUAUGUAAUUAUGGUGCCUCGUUGUUUAUGGGCUAAGAAGUGUAUUGCUUGUAAGAUCAUAUUAGAUCGGUCAACCAACAGAUGUGCUUCGAUAACACUGAAGGUAUUAAAUUAAUUAUUUGCAUAUUAUAUUCAUAAAUAUUGUGUAAAUAGAAUAAAAUUAUUAUUAACACCAAAA
This is a long non-coding RNA of Drosophila erecta, 668 nucleotides long. RefSeq lists it as uncharacterized. The record is from RefSeq and is a predicted model, not a curated record. Lineage: Eukaryota; Metazoa; Arthropoda; Insecta; Diptera; Drosophilidae. The transcript has 2 exons.